This 253-nucleotide long non-coding RNA is filed under the name Mytilus galloprovincialis (Mediterranean mussel). Lineage: Eukaryota; Metazoa; Mollusca; Bivalvia; Mytilida; Mytilidae. The record is from RNAcentral.
CUUGACAUUUGACCUUGUGUAUAUUAAUUGAAUUUUGAUAGGAAAUGUAAUAGAAAGAGACAUACUACACAUGGAGAAAAUGUUCAGGACGUUUUAAGCCACUAUUUAUUAACAUAGAAUAGAAAAAAUAAUGAGUCAAGGUCAUGUCAAAAGUUCUUAGCCAUCACCCUUAUUUUAUAAAAAAAAGUACCGAGCAACCAUACAUGAUUUCAUUCUGGACUAGAUAAACUAUUACAUAGACCUAACUUAAAAG